CGUUAUGUGCGCCCUCAUCCCGUUUCUCCGCCAAGAUCACCGGGUUGGGGCGUUUCCUUUCCGAGGCGAUAGCUACCUGCUAACGCGCCAUCCCAUUGUUUUUG
RNAcentral lists this unclassified non-coding RNA (104 nucleotides) under Halomonas elongata. The record is from RNAcentral. Lineage: Bacteria; Pseudomonadati; Pseudomonadota; Gammaproteobacteria; Oceanospirillales; Halomonadaceae.